This 253-nucleotide ribosomal RNA is filed under the name uncultured bacterium. Its description in RNAcentral is "partial 16S ribosomal RNA". It matches the Rfam family "Bacterial small subunit ribosomal RNA", at positions 524 to 776 of the family's 1533-position model. The record is from RNAcentral.
UACAGAGGGUGCAAGCGUUGUUCAGAAUUACUGGGCGUAAAGCGCGUGUAGGCGGCUUGAUAAGUCAGACGUGAAAUCCCUCGGCUUAACCGGGGAACUGCGUCUGAUACUGGAUGGCUUGAGUUCGGGAGAGGGAUGCGGAAUUCCAGGUGUAGCGGUGAAAUGCGUAGAUAUCUGGAGGAACACCGGUGGCGAAGGCGGCAUCCUGGACCGAUACUGACGCUGAGGAGCGAAAGCCAGGGGAGCAAACGGG